GUUAAUUGAGUUAGGACUUGAAGGUGCGUGUUAUCAUAUUUUGCAACUAUCUGCAGAAUUUUGCAAUGCUACUAGUUUGUGGUGAUCUUGAAUUUGUUGGUAUUAGGUUAAUGAUUCUUUUGCUUACAUCCGGUUAUAGACAGACCAUGUUGCUAAUGGAACUGUAUCUGAUUUCAUACUGUAGAUUGUGUGGAGGAAAUUGAUG
RNAcentral lists this unclassified non-coding RNA (205 nucleotides) under Hevea brasiliensis (rubber tree). The record is from RNAcentral. Lineage: Eukaryota; Viridiplantae; Streptophyta; Magnoliopsida; Malpighiales; Euphorbiaceae.